Molecule: ribosomal RNA, 486 nt
Filed under: uncultured bacterium
Lineage: Bacteria
Description: partial 16S ribosomal RNA
Rfam family: Bacterial small subunit ribosomal RNA
Source: RNAcentral
GAUGAACGCUAGCGGCAGGCUUAACACAUGCAAGUCGAGGGGCAGCGCGGGAUAGCAAUAUCCUGGCGGCGACCGGCGGAAGGGUGCGUAACGCGUGAGCGACAUGCCCGUUGCCCGGGGACAACCGGUGGAAACGCCGACUAAUCCCCGAUGGGAUAUUGUGCCGCAUGGCACGAUAUUGAAAGUUACGGCGGCGACGGAUUGGCUCGCGUCCGAUUAGCUUGUUGGCGGGGUAACGGCCCACCAAGGCUGCGAUCGGUAGGGGUUCUGAGAGGAAGGCCCACCACAAUGGGACUGAGACACGGCCCAUACUCCUACGGGAGGCAGCAGUGAGGAAUAUUGGUCAAUGGGAGGAAGCCUGAACCAGCCAUGCCGCGUGCGGGAAGGAGGCCCUAUGGGCUGUGAACCGCUUUUGCCUGGGGGCAAUAAGGGCGUCGCGCACGUCCGAUGAGAGUACCAGGCGAAUAAGCAUCGGCUAACUCCGUG